AUGGAUCUCUUCCGGAAGACGCCGGCAGAAACCGAGACGAGGCGCGAGAUUUCAGAUCGUGUUAAGCCGAGGCCGGAGAGCCCCGUGACGACGGGCGCCAGGGUUCUCUCCACGCUGGCGCAGAGGAACUGCGGGUCCUUGGCGACGAGGGCGGCGACAUCGCCGGUGAAGAGGCCGAUCCCGGCGAGGAAGGCGAGGACGGCGUCGGGCUUGGCGGUGGACCUGAGGUGGGAGAGUUUUCCGGAGGCCUUGAGGGCUUGGGGUCGGGUGAGGCCGCAGGUGGAGACGAGGUAG
This 294-nucleotide ribosomal RNA is filed under the name Triticum aestivum (bread wheat). Its description in RNAcentral is "partial small subunit ribosomal RNA". Lineage: Eukaryota; Viridiplantae; Streptophyta; Magnoliopsida; Poales; Poaceae. The record is from RNAcentral.